GCUGGGUAUGGUGGCUCAUGCCUGUAAUUUCAGUACUUUGGAAAGCUGAGGUGGGGGGAUCGCUUGAGCCCAGGAGUUCGAGACCAGCCUGGACAAUAUAGUGAGAUCCCACCUCUA
Papio anubis (olive baboon) is the source of this 117-nucleotide unclassified non-coding RNA. It matches the Rfam family "Metazoan signal recognition particle RNA". Rfam says of the family: The signal recognition particle (SRP) is a universally conserved ribonucleoprotein. The record is from Ensembl. Lineage: Eukaryota; Metazoa; Chordata; Mammalia; Primates; Cercopithecidae.